Molecule: ribosomal RNA, 253 nt
Filed under: uncultured bacterium
Lineage: Bacteria
Description: partial 16S ribosomal RNA
Rfam family: Bacterial small subunit ribosomal RNA
Source: RNAcentral
UACGUAGGGUGCGAGCGUUGUCCGGAAUUAUUGAGCGUAAAGGGCUCGUAGGCGGUUUGUCGCGUCGGGAGUGAAAUCCACUGGCUUAACUGGUGGCUUGCUUUCGAUACGGGCAGACUGGAGGUAUGCAGGGGAGAACGGAAUUCCUGGUGUAGCGGUGAAAUGCGCAGAUAUCAGGAGGAACACCGGUGGCGAAGGCGGUUCUCUGGGCAUGUCCUGACGCUGAGGAGCGAAAGCUAGGGGAGCAAACAGG